RNAcentral lists this microRNA precursor (61 nucleotides) under Caenorhabditis remanei. RNAcentral's name for it is "microRNA crm-mir-7608 precursor". The record is from miRBase by way of RNAcentral. Lineage: Eukaryota; Metazoa; Nematoda; Chromadorea; Rhabditida; Rhabditidae.
AACGUUUCAUUUCUGUACAAAACUUAUCAAGAUGCAUCAGUUUGUACUAAUGGAACGAUCU